AUUGAGAGUGCUUGAUAUGUGUGGACAGGAAUGAAUCGUCUGUCUAUAGUUGUUUUCAGUCCAUCUCAGUAUGUUAUAGUUUUUAUAAUUUUUCUCCGAACAGUACCGAAAUGUUUAGAAUGGUUCUAAUAAAUAGAACCAGAGAAGAAACAGAAAGGAAUGAAUGAACAAGGGCCUUUUGUCAAAUGAGUCUAGAGUGUGAAAUCUUUGGUCACUAAGAGUCAGUUGAUCUGGAGUCAUCAUACCAGAAAGACGUACCUUCUGCAUCCGAUAAUAAAUAAUUAAAGUUGAUAGUUAAAUCGUUUUUAUAUUAUUGAGACAAUCCCUAUCCAUAAUCCAAUAGAUUCCUUUAUCUUUAUAUGGCAUCUUAAUAGGUGACAUUUUUGUUAGUGUUAUUAGCACGAGCUUUGAAGUUGAGAUGAUAGUCAACCUCAUCCCCCAGAUCAACGAUCAAAGGUUUAGUUCUCCUACUCCAACAUCUGGCGUUCAACCCACCCACCAAGUCACGAAUAAUGGGAAAAUAAACAUACAAAUGGAAAGGAGUCGAGGACCUUUAUUUGCGAUUGGAAAAUAUAUUGACUCAGGCACUCAGUAAACUCUGUAUCUUAAAAUUUGAGAGCAGAUCUUUGGAUUUUUUAAAAUAACGUGAGAACUUCAUCCGUCAAUGCUCCCUGUCUGAUGUUGGGAGAUGAGAGUGGCCAUCGAAGAUGGUUAAAGGGACUUCAGGGGGCUCAACUAAACCACACCACGCACAUCUGCGGUUAUAAGUUUCACGCAAUAUGCCAGACACCUUGUGUAAACUUAAUGGUCACGUUGGAAUUACCGCACGGGCUUUUUGUUUAUUUUUCGGGUCAAGGGGACGAGGAUGAGGGGAGAGGAAUACUUGCAAUGCGAUCUGAAGAAUGAAUGGAAGGCUUCGAGGAAUUGACAAUUCGAAGUAAUCUGGGCACUGAAGCUGAUUACAAGGAAUUUAAUGCUUUUAAAUUUUGUUUCAUUAUUUAUACAAUACCAUCUGUUGAGUGAGAACCACGUGAUUGAAAUUUUUGGCUGUUUGCGUAUUGUUCCGUUAAUGGCCCAGGGUAAUGUUACAAGACUAUUUUUAUCGAGACUUUCUUGCAAAUAAGUUUUGUAUAAUAAUUUUGUAUGAACUUAUGAGAACUUCUUUAAACUGUAUUUUUUUAAAACGACCAUUAUCAAAUAAAAUUUGAAAAAAAUCGAACAGAUAACCAAAAUCAAUUUUUUGAUGAUAGUCAUCUGCAGUUUAUGAUAAUAAAUUCGAUUGAAAUUUGAGGACAAUCGUAUUGA
Molecule: long non-coding RNA, 1305 nt
Organism: Diachasmimorpha longicaudata
Lineage: Eukaryota; Metazoa; Arthropoda; Insecta; Hymenoptera; Braconidae
Exons: 3
Source: RefSeq, a predicted model, not a curated record